CCAAAGACAGAGACAGUAAUCAGAGGGGGAAAAAGCUAGGAAGACAGACAGGGAUUAAAGACAGACAGAGACAUAAGCAAAGAGACAGAGAGAAGAAGGAGAAUGCCUGGGAGUAAAACAGAAAGAAAAAUAUUAAGCCAGCCAAAGCUAUAGGAAGAAAAAAAAAAGAAGCGAUUAAAGCCUGACAGACAGACACAAGGACAGAAAGAAGCCACGGUGAUAGAGAGACAGACGAGCAAGCCGGCGUGAGAAAAGGAGAGGAUCCGAGGAAGAAAGCCUGAGAGAGAUGAGCUGAAGGAGAAUAACUUUAUUUGAAAUAUGGUGACAUGUUUCACUCAAGCUGCCAGACUCCUCAUUACAGGCACCUCCUUUGACGUCAGCUGUCACGGUUCAUCAGGCUGCGCCGGGUUAAGGGCAAAAACAAACAGCUGCCAUCUCUCUCAGCGGGGAGCAGUGCAGGUCUGGAGGACGAGUCAGGGUUUUACCCCAGACGCUGGCAGUUAGCCCUGAAGACCUGCCACUAACGUGGUGGCCGUAAUCCCACCAAAUCCAGCUGUAACCUCAACACCUGACCCAGUGGCACUGAAAGGAAAUGAGUUUCCUGCUACGUGAAGAUUUCAGCAAGACAGAAAGCUUCUCUUAAGACUUUUUUUUUUUUUACUCGUCUGCUCCUUUUUAUCACUCUCUCCCUCUCUCCCAAAGGGCACAGGAGGAUGGAGAUAGCCAAAGGAAUUAUCACAAAUAACAAGAAUGUCCUUGCUCCAUGUCUGCCUGGAGUGUGGAAGAGGCAGCGUUUGGCUCGGCAGAUACAGACAUUAACCGGCUGCCUCGCUCUUAUCCUGCUUGGCCAGACUUGAAAUGCUUUUUUUCCCUUUUUUUUCCCCAAUGUAGUCUUCCUUUUGUGAGACCCUUUCUUCAUUAAGUGCUUCUACUUUCAUUACCAAUGGCACUCUUUCCUCAUCACCUCAUGUUCCUGGUAAGGAGUGCCAAUGACCGCUAAAUGAGAGGACUGUGACAUGCCCUGUCUUUUUGACGGACACGGUAAUGAGAGUGGUAGAAUGCCACCGGAAAGACUGUCUGGUUUCAUCUGUUCGGGUAUUCUACAGUGCCGGCUGCUGGUGAUAUUAGAACUGACGCUAAAAUACAUUAUCUAUCCAUUUUUCUUACAACCUGUAAUUGGUUCCACACAAAAAAAAAAAACCCAGAAAUAAUCUGCUUGUUAAUAAUAAUAAUAAUCUGAUGUGGAUAAAACCUUAUAGAGGUCUUUUCAUCUUUAAAAGAAUUUGCUUGCCCAAUUGUAAG
Molecule: long non-coding RNA, 1302 nt
Organism: Ictalurus punctatus (channel catfish)
Lineage: Eukaryota; Metazoa; Chordata; Actinopteri; Siluriformes; Ictaluridae
Source: Ensembl